GCCAGUGUGGUGUUGUGGUUUGAACACUGGACUGCAGCUCUGGAGAUCAGGGUUCGAGUCCUUGCUUGGCCA
Non-coding RNA from Phrynosoma platyrhinos (Desert horned lizard), 72 nucleotides. The record is from the annotation of a GenBank genome assembly. Lineage: Eukaryota; Metazoa; Chordata; Lepidosauria; Squamata; Phrynosomatidae.